AUUGAACGCUGGCGGCAGGCCUAACACAUGCAAGUCGAGCGGAUGAAGGGAGCUUGCUCCUGGAUUCAGCGGCGGACGGGUGAGUAAUGCCUAGGAAUCUGCCUGGUAGUGGGGGAUAACGUCCGGAAACGGGCGCUAAUACCGCAUACGUCCUGAGGGAGAAAGUGGGGGAUCUUCGGACCUCACGCUAUCAGAUGAGCCUAGGUCGGAUUAGCUAGUUGGUGGGGUAAAGGCCUACCAAGGCGACGAUCCGUAACUGGUCUGAGAGGAUGAUCAGUCACACUGGAACUGAGACACGGUCCAGACUCCUACGGGAGGCAGCAGUGGGGAAUAUUGGACAAUGGGCGAAAGCCUGAUCCAGCCCUGCCGCGUGUGUGAAGAAGGUCUUCGGAUUGUAAAGCACUUUAAGUUGGGAGGAAGGGCAGUAAGUUAAUACCUUGCUGUUUUGACGUUACCAAAAGAAUAAGCACCGGCUAACUUCGUG
Molecule: ribosomal RNA, 484 nt
Filed under: uncultured bacterium
Lineage: Bacteria
Description: partial 16S ribosomal RNA
Rfam family: Bacterial small subunit ribosomal RNA
Source: RNAcentral